UCAUAUGCUUGUCUCAAAGCUUAAGCCAUGCAAGUGUAAGUUCACGCCACGCAUAAGAACGGGCGAAACCGCGAAUGGCUCAGGAACCGGACCUAAUCCUCGGGACCGUAAUCCUCCUCGGAGGCGAUGGAUAACUGUGGCAAUUCUAGAGCUAAUACAUGUGACACAGGCCGCGAUCGGUCGUCGCGCCGUGGUCGCCUCGCCUUCUUGCGCGCUGGCACCCGCGACGGCCGUCUUGGGUCGCGGCGCUACAUAUUAGACUGAGACCGAUGCGCGUCAAUCCGUCCUCCCGUGCGCGGCUCGAUUCUCCUCACGGGGUUCUCUUGCUGCCGUGCGGGGCCAAAGGGCGGCGCGCUCCGCUUUGGUGACUCUGGAUAACUCACUGGUCGAUCGCACGGGCUUCACGCCCGGCGACGGGUCUCUCGAGGGUCCGCCCUAUCAACUGUCGACGGUCGGUUAAGUGCCUACCGUGGUUACUACGGGUAACGGGGAAUCGGGGUUCGAUUCCGGAGAGGGAGCAUGCGAAACGGCUACCACAUCCAAGGAAGGCAGCAGGCGCGCAAAUUACCCACUCCCGGCACGGGGAGGUAGUGACGAAAAAUAACGACGCGGGACUCUGUCGAGGCCCCGCGAUCGGAAUGAGUACACUUCAAAUCCGUUAACGAGGACCAACCGGAGGGCAAGUCUGGUGCCAGCAGCCGCGGUAAUUCCAGCUCCGGUAGCGUAUAUUAAAGUUGUUGCGGUUAAAAAGCUCGUAGUCCGAAUUCGGGUUCGUGGUCGCUCACGCGGCCCCGGGGCGGCGGCGCCAUCGUCCAUCGUUGACUUUGGUCGUCCGUUCGCAUUCCCGGCCCUUUCCGCCGGUGUCAACCGCUGUAUUGAUGGGGUUCGUUGUCGGGUGGGCGAGUAUGCGGGGCGCCAGUCGGGGCUUCGGUCGCGGUCGCUCGGAGGCUUGGCCGGCGGUGUUCUUUCCGUCGCGUGUUUGCGGUUGGCUGCUUCAUCGUAGCCUCCGUCGCGUUGUCGGUGUUCGCCGCUUCUUCGCUUUCCGUUCGCCGCGUUCCGUUCCCUGUCGAACGCUUCGUUCGUCUCCAUCCGCACCUUCCCUGUCGGCGGUUUCUCCUCCAAGGGUGCUCUUAAUCGAGUGUCCGCGGCGGCCGGUACGUUCACUUUGAAAAAAUUAGAGUGCUCAGAGCGGGCUGUUCAAGCUUGCAUACGAUAAGCAUGGAAUGAUGGAAGAGGGCCUCGUCUACGUCUGUCGGUCUCCGUCUACGGCGAGGCAAUGAUCGAAGGGAGCGGUCGGGGCCACUCGUAUUGCGACGUUAGAGGUGAAAUUCUUGGAUCGUCGCAAGACGAACUGCAGCGAUGGCGUGUGGCAAGCACGUUUUCCUCGAUCAAGAGCGAAAGUCGGAGGUUCGAAGACGAUCAGAUACCGUCGUAGUUCCGACCGUAAACGAUGCCGACCGGCGAUCCGCCGGCGUUCGCUUCCAUGACCCGGCGGGUAGCCUGCGGGAAACCAGAGUUSGGUUCCGGGGGGAGUAUGGUUGCAAAGCUGAAACUUAAAGGAAUUGACGGAAGGGCACCACCAGGAGUGGAGCCUGCGGCUUAAUUUGACUCAACACGGGAAAACUCACCCGGUCCGGACACCGGAAGGAUUGACAGAUCGAUAGCUCUUUCUCGAUUCGGUGGGUGGUGGUGCAUGGCCGUUCUUAGUUGGUGGAGCGAUCCGUCUGGUUGAUUCCGAUAACGAACGAGACUCCGGCCUGCUAACUAGUGCGCCGAUGUAAUUGCGGCGUCCUUCGCGGGCGUCGUGUGCGGGCUCGGAAGUGGGUUUUUUUAAAGCCUUCUCCUUCGGGUCCGGGUCGGUUUCUCACGCACUUCUUAGAGGGACGGGUGGCAGAAAGCCACACGAGGCGGAGCAAUAACAGGUCUGUGAUGCCCUUAGAUGUCCGGGGCCGCACGCGCGCUACACUGGAGGUAUCAGCGGGGACUUCGCCCCGGCCCGAGAGGGUCGGGAAACCUCUCAACCACCUCCCGUGAUAGGGAUCGGGGCCUGUAACCAACCCCGUGAACGAGGAAUUCCCGGUAGGCGCGGGUCAACAGCCCGCGUCGAUCACGUCCCUGCCCUUUGUACACACCGCCCGUCGCUACUACCGAUCGAACGGUCCGGUGAGGUCCUCGGAUCUGGCCGACGACGCCGCCGGGCAGGGCCCUCCUUCGGGGGUGGUCACGCCUCGGCGUUCGAUGCCUGGAGAAGACGACCGAACCCGAUCGUUUAGAGGAAGUAAAAGUCGUAACAAGGUUUCC
RNAcentral lists this ribosomal RNA (2301 nucleotides) under Bathyteuthis abyssicola (deepsea squid). Its description in RNAcentral is "bacterial SSU rRNA". It matches the Rfam family "Eukaryotic small subunit ribosomal RNA". Lineage: Eukaryota; Metazoa; Mollusca; Cephalopoda; Oegopsida; Bathyteuthidae. The record is from RNAcentral.